UCCAGUUUUUUUACCAUCCAGUUGGUUCAGUCCCUCUUUAAUCUGCUGCCAUUUAUUACAUAAUGAUCUAAGGAUCAAUAAUUAUUUAAUCAAAAUAACCUCUUAAACCAUAAUUAAGCUACAAUAUCUUUUUGGCUUACCUUACCGCUGAAUUCUCAAGAUAGAAAAGAAAUCCGAGAGGGUCGCUGAAAUUUUUUCUGCUAAUUUCUAAGUCGAAAAAAUUGUUGAGGCAAUUAUCUUUUGCUGGAAAAAAGAUUUGCUUACCAUGGACAAUAUCUGUUCAAGAGAGAAAAAUACAAGACUCAACAAACAGAGAAGAUUAAAUCAUUUACUAGUGACAACAACAGAAGAUCAAAAAGAUCAAGAAAAGUCAGUUGGUGAAUAUAUUUUUUUCUCGGCAAGAAGAGACAACACAAAAGCAGGAUGUGACAGAAGGAAGCUUUCGUCCAUUGUGUCCUUCUCAGUUGUCUCAAGGAUAUUCAUCUAAUGAAAGUUUGACUCAACUCUUAAGAGAUGUUUCAUUUCCUGAUUUUAACAAGUAUUCUCAACAUUGAUCUCAAAGUUGAGAUGUAUACUUCUUUGGCAUUGUUAUUUUCUUUCAUAGAUUUUAUUCCAGUGUGCAAUUGACUUUCGCAUCUGUGAAUUAAGUUUUUUCUUUCCAUUUUUUGGUGUCAAGGCCAUAACCCACUCGUGGUUGUUGAAAUUUGUUUUCCCACCAAUUAUUUAUUUUUUUGGAACAAUCUAGUGGCAGUUUAUUGUCAUCAUAUUGACAAUUGAUAAUUUAAUUGAGGUUUGAUUAUUGUU
Long non-coding RNA from Solanum tuberosum (potato), 804 nucleotides. RefSeq lists it as uncharacterized. NCBI's taxonomy places the organism in Eukaryota, Viridiplantae, Streptophyta, Magnoliopsida, Solanales, Solanaceae. The record is from RefSeq and is a predicted model, not a curated record. The transcript has 3 exons.